GCCGCCAGCACCAAGAGAGAGAAAGACCGUGAGUUUGAGAGAGAUGCAGAAAAUUAUGAAGAAGAAAAUAGGUUUUCGGCCAUGGGUUGUUGUGAGGUAAAAUCUCUAGCUUCCCUUUGUGUUUUCGUUUUACCCAUUGAUUAUAAAGCACGAAAAUCGUAUUAAUUGCUAUGAUAUGUGUUGGAUCCGAAAUCUAGGGUUCAUGUUAGAGUUUUAGUUAUACCUAGCAUUUUCGCCCAUGGGUUGUUGUGAGGUAAAAUACCUAGCAUUUUCUCAUGAUUUUCGUUAUACCCAUUAAUGUUAGAACUAGAAAACCAUAUAAAUUGCUAUGAUUCUUCCUAGGUCCGAAAUUAGGGUUUAUGUUUGGGAUUUGGGGCUUUUGCCAUGUUGUACGGUUGAUGGCCGAUUGGGUGAUUGAUAUCAAAUUGUUGAGGUAUUUUAGUGAUUUUUCAUGUGAAUUGAUUAUUUACUAAAUGUGUGUUUUGUGGAUAUCUCGUCUUCUUCUCCUCUGCUCCUCUCUCUUGUAGCAGAUUCACAGUUCCUGUCAUCACUUGCCUUCAUGCCAACAGCUAGAGAUUGUGAUGUCCUCGCCAGGUUUUGUAGCAGCUGGUGCAGGAGCAUCCUACUAUGGCCUUGGGGGUUUUGUAGCAGCUGGUGCAGGAGCAUCCUUCUCCGGCCUUGGGGGUAAUAAUAUUGUUAGCCUCUUUUGGAUUUACUCACAUAUCAUUAUUUUGUUCAUUUUUAGUUUAAAUUGAGUUGAUCUAUAAAGACCAUAGAUUGGUGUUUCUCAUUUGUUGCUUGUUAUAUGAAUAUGUAGUCUUGUUGCUGAGAUUUUGGUAUCAUUUUGAACUUAAGUAUAUUUGUGUAGCUCUAUGAUUCAUUGAUUAAUUUGAUUUGGAUAACAUUUUGGUUUAGCUCAAGUUUUAUUGAUCUUAGUCCUACUGCUGAGAUUUGGACAUCGUUUUGAACUUUAGUAUA
Molecule: long non-coding RNA, 978 nt
Filed under: Betula platyphylla (Asian white birch)
Lineage: Eukaryota; Viridiplantae; Streptophyta; Magnoliopsida; Fagales; Betulaceae
Source: RNAcentral